Molecule: ribosomal RNA, 214 nt
Filed under: uncultured fungus
Lineage: Eukaryota; Fungi
Description: partial small subunit ribosomal RNA
Rfam family: Eukaryotic small subunit ribosomal RNA
Source: RNAcentral
GGUAUUUGUUGCUAGCUGGUCUUAAUGUCCAUGUUAGUUAACAGAUCCUCAUUUGCUGGAUGGCUAACGAUGGUCUUAAUCGAUUGUCGUUAGUUACCAGAACGUUUACUUUGAGAAAAUUAGAGUGCUAAAAGCAGGCUCACGCCUAUAUAUAUUGCAUGGAAUAAUGAAAUAAGAUCUCGAUUUUAUUUCGUUGGUUUUAGAAAUUGAGAUA